CGGUCUCAAAAGAUUCAAAGUCCAAGAUGGCAACCUUCAAGGACCAGCUGAUUGUGAAUCUUCUUAAGGAAGAACAGGUUCCCCAGAACAAGAUUACAGUUGUUGGGGUUGGAGCUGUUGGCAUGGCCUGUGCCAUCAGUAUCUUAAUGAAGGACUUGGCAGAUGAGCUUGCCCUUGUUGAUGUCAUGGGAAGAGCAGCUGAAGGGAGAGAUGAUGGAUCUCCAGCAUGGCAGCCUCUUCCUUAAAAACACCAACAAUCGUCUCCAGCAAAGACAACUGCAAACUUCAAGCUGGUCAUCAUCACAACAAGCAGGGGUCCAUCAGCAAGAGGGAGAGAGCCGACUCAAUCUGGUCCAGCAAACCGUGAACAUCUUCAAGUUCAUCAUUCCCAACAUUGUGAAGUACAGUCCACGCUGCAAGCUGCUUAUUGUCUCAAAUCCAGUGGAUAUCUUGACCUACGUUGCUUGGAAAAUCAGUGGCUUUCCGAGUUAUUGGAAGUGGUUGCAAUCUGGAUUCAGCUCGGUUCUGUUACCUGAAAGGCUGGGGGUUCACCCUCUGAGCUGUCACAGGUGCAUCCUGGGAGAACAUGGGGACUCUAGUGUGCGUGUGUGAAGUGAUGUGAACGUUGCCAGCAUCUCCCUGAAGUUUCUGAACCCAGAACUGAUGCAGAUAAGGAGCAGUGGAAGGAUGUUCACAAGCAGGUGGUUGACAGUACCUAUGAGGUGAUCAAGCUGAAAGGUUGCUCAUCCUGGACCAUUGGCCUCUCUGUGGCCGACUCGGCCAAGAGUGUAAUGAAGAACCUUAGGCGGGUGCAUCCCAUCUCCACCAUGAUUAAGGGUCUCUAUGGAAUCAGUGAUGAUAUCUUCCUCAGUGUCCCAUGUAUCCUGGGACAAAAUGGAGUCUCGGAUGUUGUGAAGGUGACACUGACUCCUGAGGAAGAGUCCCACCUGGAGAAGAGUGCAGAUACCCUCUGGGGAAUCCAGAAAGAGCUGCAGUUCUAA
RNA transcript from Mastomys coucha (southern multimammate mouse), 1001 nucleotides. It is a transcript of the gene named L-lactate dehydrogenase A chain pseudogene, with no coding region annotated. NCBI's taxonomy places the organism in Eukaryota, Metazoa, Chordata, Mammalia, Rodentia, Muridae. The transcript has a single exon. The record is from RefSeq and is a predicted model, not a curated record.